Molecule: long non-coding RNA, 1238 nt
Organism: Bombus terrestris (buff-tailed bumblebee)
Lineage: Eukaryota; Metazoa; Arthropoda; Insecta; Hymenoptera; Apidae
Exons: 2
Source: RefSeq, a predicted model, not a curated record
UUUGACCGCUGACGGCUUCAUUUGUUUUGGUCGGUGUUAGGUCUUCCCCUCCAGCCUCGGACGAAGCCUAUCAGUUGGAAUUCUCUAAAAUAGUAACCCCACACCGGAAUUCCUUCUUCUGUGCUUCCUGGAGGCCCGACCAACGCCAGCGUUAUUUUGCGGACGUCUAUGUUCCACUCUCCGGGUGUUAGUGCUGUUGUCCGAGGGAGGGGUUAGUAUAAACGUAUCUUAAUUCUAUAGUUAGUAAUAUUGUUAUUUCACUACUGAUCUAUUUGUAUUCUAUUACAUGGCAGUUAGAAGUGCAUUCUAACUGCUAUCACAGCCUGUUGACGAUGAGCUUCGAGUGGCACAUCUUCUGCCCGACUUUGACCGCUGACGGCUUCAUUUGUUUUGGUCGGUGUUAGGUCUUCCCCUCCAGCCUCGGACGAAGCCCAUCAGUUGGAAUUCUCUAAAAUAGGUAAAUUACUAUUAGGAUUUGAACUCGGGUACCUUGGAUUUGUAGCCGUAUACUAUAUCCACGUCGCCACCGUAGUCAUAUAAUAUUUAUAUUCUAGAACUCAUACUUAAGGUUACAAGUGUCGGGCCUAUAUUGCUUGGAUUCCCGUUGAAACAUUAAAACUGUAGUUGUUCGUUGAAAGCGUGAUUCAGAUUUAAAAAUGGGGUUAUUAAAUUAAAUUAAACCUUGUUUCGUAUCGAAGCCUCGCAUUGCUACACAAUUUUACUUUUUUUUAUUAGAAAAUCAAACAAAAGGCAUGUGUUACGAUAAUAGAGGAUUGAAACGCGGCCGUAGAAACCUGCCCUUUCUAAUCUCUUCUGCUUCUUAAUAAUGUCACCAAUAUAGUCAAAAUUUGAUUUUACUAGAUAUCAAAAUAUCUACAAAAUCACCUGAAAACAUGAGUAAGUCGCACAAUUUCCAAAAACUGAAACACGUGGUUGUAGAAAUCUUUCCCUUUCUAAAUUUUCUUGCUGGUUACCAGCACGGUAUGGUGCAGGUAUUCACAAUGAUGAUUCAAAUGAUGUUUUCUAUCUUGUACUGUUAUCCGCAUUGCAAAACGAUAGCAAAAUAGUGAAACAACACGUUUCCUAGGGUGUGUGAUAGUUGCCGCGCGGUUGCAGAUGGUUUGAAAGAGCUCGUUAAUUCGCUAUCCCGCCGCGAUUUCCGGCAGCGCUCCAUGAUUCCUGCGUUCGAUCACGUCCACGCGAUAUGCCUACAUCAGCGUUCCUUUGUAAUUAAGCUA